GGGGCCGUAGCUCAAUUGGGAGAGCGCUGCGUUCGCAAUGCAGAGGUUGCCGGUUCGAUCCCGGUCGGCUCCA
RNAcentral lists this transfer RNA (73 nucleotides) under Phycisphaerales bacterium. RNAcentral describes it as "tRNA-Ala". It matches the Rfam family "tRNA". Rfam says of the family: Transfer RNA (tRNA) molecules are approximately 80 nucleotides in length. Lineage: Bacteria; Pseudomonadati; Planctomycetota; Phycisphaerae; Phycisphaerales. The record is from RNAcentral.